UAAUACGUAGGCAGCAAGCGUUGUUCGGAGUUACUGGGCGUAAAGAGUAUGUAGGCGGUUGGGUAAGUUUGGUGUGAAAUCUCCCGGCUUAACUGGGAGGGUGCGCUAAAGACUGCCUGGCUCGAGUGUGGGAGAGGAAAGCGGAAUUCCUGGUGUAGCGGUGAAAUGCGUAGAUAUCAGGAGGAACACCUGCGGUGUAGACGGCUUUCUGGACCAUAACUGACGCUGAGAUACGAAAGCGUGGGUAGCAAACAGGAUUAGAUACCCUGGUAGUCCACGCCCUAAACGAUGCAUACUUGGUGUUGGCCAUUCACUUGGUCAGUGCCGGAGCUAACGCGUUAAGUAUGCCGCCUGGGGAGUACGGUCGCAAGGCUG
RNAcentral lists this ribosomal RNA (375 nucleotides) under uncultured bacterium. RNAcentral describes it as "bacterial SSU rRNA". It matches the Rfam family "Bacterial small subunit ribosomal RNA", at positions 521 to 896 of the family's 1533-position model. The record is from RNAcentral.